This 468-nucleotide ribosomal RNA is filed under the name uncultured bacterium. RNAcentral describes it as "partial 16S ribosomal RNA". It matches the Rfam family "Bacterial small subunit ribosomal RNA", at positions 28 to 507 of the family's 1533-position model. The record is from RNAcentral.
GACGGACGCUGGCGGCGUGCUUAACACAUGCAAGUCGAACGGAAAGGCCCUGCUUUUGUGGGGUGCUCGAGUGGCGAACGGGUGAGUAACACGUGAGUAACCUGCCCUUGACUUUGGGAUAACUUCAGGAAACUGGGGCUAAUACCGGAUAGGAGCUCCUGCUGCAUGGUGGGGGUUGGAAAGUUUCGGCGGUUGGGGAUGGACUCGCGGCUUAUCAGCUUGUUGGUGGGGUAGUGGCUUACCAAGGCUUUGACGGGUAGCCGGCCUGAGAGGGUGACCGGCCAAAUUGGGACUGAGAUACGGCCCAGACUCCUACGGGAGGCAGCAGUGGGGAAUAUUGCACAAUGGGAGGAAGCAUGAUGCAGCAACGCCGCGUGCGGGAUGACGGCCUUCGGGUUGUAAACCGCUUUCGCCUGUGACGAAGCGUGAGUGACGGUAAUGGGUAAAGAAGCACCGGCUAACUACGUG